CAAAUUUUUUCCUUUUUACAUUUAGUCUACUAGAAAUGAAGACAUCUUUUACCCUCCCCCUUCUAUGAAAAAUCAUCCACAUAUCCCUUUCAUUAUGAUCUGCUGUAAAAUUAGAGAAGAAGAAGCUAACCUCCAUAAUCGUCGCCUGCUGAUGGUGGUGGUCCUUUUCGUGUGAGACAGUUGGGCAUGAAAAUAUUCUAUAUUUCUUGUCAACCUUAAACUAUUGUACUGAUCGGUAGCUAAAGAUGUGAGGUUUUUGUUAGAAUAGAUGGCUUAAACAAGAGGGGGAUGAAUUUUUUGUCAAAGAUUUUCGCAAAACUUGAUUAAGAAUGAACCUUUAUCAAACAAACACAGAUAAGCACUUAAGGAAAGCAAUCAAACAAUGAUACAAAAACUGUUUUCAGAAUUUUAACCAAUUGAAAUUGUGUUUUAAUCGGUUAUUUAUACCAGCAGCAAAAACAAACACAAACAUUUAUAAGGAGUUAGAGAAAGAGAUAUUUACACAACAAUUUUAUACUAGUUCAUUCAACCUUAAGCUACAUCCAGUUCUCAGAACAACCUCUGAUUUCCACUAGUAAUCAAAUCUAGAUUACACAAAUACACCACAAAGAGGUGACCUUGAAAACCACAAGAUCCACUCACCCUCUUUGCAACACUGCACACCUCAAGUCAGAACACCUUCUUACUUUGCAGGAUUUCACACACUUACAGUUGUAAUGAAAGAACAAUUACAAGAACUUUGAAAGGGAUAGAAAACACCUAAGAUUUAUACAAAACAGGAAGCCAUAUGAUUAGAUCUUGUACCAAUGCAAAGCUUUAACAAAAAUCUUGCAAAACCUUUGAAAAGUUCUUUCAAAAACAAAUCUCAAUCUCUAUUUCAAACUCUGUAAAACUUGUUAUUUUGUUUUGAAAGAAAGGCUAUAUUUAUAGCACUUGAAAUCUAGCCGUUUAAGGCAGCAUUAAUGAGCUAAAACAGUUUUGAUCACAUUCAAAACAGUUAAAACAGGUUUUCAAAAAACUGUUAUGAAAACACACAUUUAACCGGUUUAAUGGGUUAGGUAGUUACAUAACCAAUUCAAAAAAUAGUUUCAAAACCUUUAAGUCAGCUAAGUGACAAACAACCGAUUAUAUCGAUAAAUCAACCGAUUGUUUUUUCUUUGCUUGGAAAAACACUUUGUUUAUUUAAAACAAAUUGAUUAAGCUUUGUACAAGGAUUAAAAACUGAUCUUAACAUAGAUUUUAAACAUCCUAAUCUAAACCCAAACAAAAAGCAGCACAACUUCAAACUUGAACUUGGAUUUGAAACAUCAAAGCUCCCAUGCUCAACAAUUUUGAUGUUGAUCUAUCAUAGAGUUCCCCAACUAUAACCAAGUACAUAGUUGAUGAAUGGGAGUUUAAGUUAUUGCACAUGUUCAACAACUAGCAACAUACAACAUAUAUAACUUAGUUUAUAUAUGUCAGCAUGAUAUAAUAGACUUUAGAUAUGUGUUAUGACAUAUUAAUAUCCCUACCUAUCUUGAGUCUUCCUAACCUAGAAUGAAUUAACUAUUAUUAUUGUAGUCAGUCUUCCCUACACACAAUGUUUUUAGGUAUAAAACAAGACAUUGUCAUCAAUUUGAAUAUGAGAAAUAGCCUAUGUUAUAUGUGUUCUAACCAUAACCACACAUCUAACUAUGACAUACUCCAUAGCAAAAAUAUUUAUAUAAUAAAUAUAUUUUUCUAAAAUAAAACAAGUAUUUAUUAUAAUAAUUUUAAACAAAUUCAAAAGUUGAGUCAUCGAUAUCUUCCAAUUUAAUUUUUAGAAAAGACCAUAAUAAUGUCUAGAGUUUUUUUUUUCUUGUCGUUAACAUAUUUUUUGGUAGUCAUAAUAGUGAUUAGGAAAUUUCUUGAUGAAUAAAACAAAACGAAAAGGACCCCUAAAUGGGAAAACAAAGAGCUAGUUGGAUAAUGUAGAUGGCUAUGGUUUUGUCCAAAUCCAAUUGUAUCCUUUCUAGUGGGGUCUUUUGAUUAUGAUUUUGUUUGGAGUCAAGACAAAAGGUAAGAAUAAGAUUAUGAUCAAAUCAUCACUUACGCCACCAUUUAAAUCAACCCAAUUCAAAUGACUACUCCAAUGGAAAUUUACUUAGUGGAAAAUAAUAGUAAUAGUUGGUAUAUGAGAAACCACCAAUUUGGUUUCCUUCUAUGAUGCUUCUCAUACGUCACCACAUAGAUUGCAAGAUACAAAAAGUCUUGAUAAAGUUUAAUGUGAAUCAAUUAUAUCAUUUAUCAUUAUUUGGAGAGCAAAAAAAGUCAAAAACAUACGAAAACAAGUCACCAUGGAUUAAUUAGGUCCACGACUAUGUUAUUCUCAAACCUUCUACAAUUCAUAUGAGUCGGUUAUAUAAUCAUUUGAAUAGAACGUUCUAAAUUUACAAUUUAAUAUUAUGUAGUUAAUAAAUUU
RNAcentral lists this long non-coding RNA (2440 nucleotides) under Phaseolus vulgaris (common bean). RNAcentral describes it as "long non-coding RNA (PVUL_LNC003149)". Lineage: Eukaryota; Viridiplantae; Streptophyta; Magnoliopsida; Fabales; Fabaceae. The record is from RNAcentral.